CACUAUCGUUAACUGAAUACAUAGGUUAACGAGGCGAACCGGGGGAACUGAAACAUCUAAGUACCCCGAGGAAAAGAAAUCAACCGAGAUUCCCCCAGUAGCGGCGAGCGAACGGGGAGCAGCCCAGAGUCUGAAUCAGCUUGUGUGUUAGUGGAACGGUCUGGAAAGUCCGACGGUACAGGGUGAUAGUCCCGUACACCAAAAUGCACAGGUUGUGAACUCGAAGAGUAGGGCGGGACACGUGGUAUCCUGUCUGAAUAUGGGGGGACCAUCCUCCAAGGCUAAAUACUCCUGACUGACCGAUAGUGAACCAGUACCGUGAGGGAAAGGCGAAAAGAACCCCGGCGAGGGGAGUGAAAAAGAACCUGAAACCGUGUACGUACAAGCAGUGGGAGCACCUUCGGGUGUGACUGCGUACCUUUUGUAUAAUGGGUCAGCGACUUAUAUUCUGUAGCAAGGUUAACCGUAUAGGGGAGCCGCAGGGAAACCGAGUCUUAACUGGGCGUUAAGUUGCAGGGUAUAGACCCGAAACCCGGUGAUCUAGCCAUGGGCAGGUUGAAGGUUGGGUAACACUAACUGGAGGACCGAACCGACUAAUGUUGAAAAAUUAGCGGAUGACUUGUGGCUGGGGGUGAAAGGCCAAUCAAACCGGGAGAUAGCUGGUUCUCCCCGAAAGCUAUUUAGGUAGCGCCUCGUGAAUUCAUCUUCGGGGGUAGAGCACUGUUUCGGCUAGGGGGUCAUCCCGACUUACCAACCCGAUGCAAACUACGAAUACCGAAGAAUGUUAUCACGGGAGACACACGGCGGGUGCUAACGUCCGUCGUGAAGAGGGAAACAACCCAGACCGCCAGCUAAGGUCCCAAAGUCAUGGUUAAGUGGGAAACGAUGUGGGAAGGCACAGACAGCCAGGAUGUUGGCUUAGAAGCAGCCAUCAUUUAAAGAAAGCGUAAUAGCUCACUGGUCGAGUCGGCCUGCGCGGAAGAUGUAACGGGGCUAAACCAUGCACCGAAGCUGCGGCAGCGACACUAUGUGUUGUUGGGUAGGGGAGCGUUCUGUAAGCCUGCGAAGGUGACCUGUGAGGGUUGCUGGAGGUAUCAGAAGUGCGAAUGCUGACAUAAGUAACGAUAAAGCGGGUGAAAAGCCCGCUCGCCGGAAGACCAAGGGUUCCUGUCCAACGUUAAUCGGGGCAGGGUGAGUCGACCCCUAAGGCGAGGCCGAAAGGCGUAGUCGAUGGGAAACAGGUUAAUAUUCCUGUACUUGGUGUUACUGCGAAGGGGGGACGGAGAAGGCUAUGUUAGCCGGGCGACGGUUGUCCCGGUUUAAGCAUGUAGGCUGAUUAUCCAGGCAAAUCCGGAUAAUCAAGGCUGAGGUGUGAUGACGAGGCACUACGGUGCUGAAGUAACAAAUGCCCUGCUUCCAGGAAAAGCCUCUAAGCAUCAGGUAACAUCAAAUCGUACCCCAAACCGACACAGGUGGUCAGGUAGAGAAUACCAAGGCGCUUGAGAGAACUCGGGUGAAGGAACUAGGCAAAAUGGUGCCGUAACUUCGGGAGAAGGCACGCUGGUGUGUAGGUGAAGUCCCUGCGGAUGGAGCUGAGACCAGUCGAAGAUACCAGCUGGCUGCAACUGUUUAUUAAAAACACAGCACUGUGCAAACACGAAAGUGGACGUAUACGGUGUGACGCCUGCCCGGUGCCGGAAGGUUAAUUGAUGGGGUUAUCCGUAAGGAGAAGCUCUUGAUCGAAGCCCCGGUAAACGGCGGCCGUAACUAUAACGGUCCUAAGGUAGCGAAAUUCCUUGUCGGGUAAGUUCCGACCUGCACGAAUGGCGUAAUGAUGGCCAGGCUGUCUCCACCCGAGACUCAGUGAAAUUGAACUCGCUGUGAAGAUGCAGUGUACCCGCGGCAAGACGGAAAGACCCCGUGAACCUUUACUAUAGCUUGACACUGAACAUUGAGCCUUGAUGUGUAGGAUAGGUGGGAGGCUUUGAAGCGUGGACGCCAGUCUGCGUGGAGCCAACCUUGAAAUACCACCCUUUAAUGUUUGAUGUUCUAACGUUGGCCCCUGACCGGGGUUGCGGACAGUGUCUGGUGGGUAGUUUGACUGGGGCGGUCUCCUCCCAAAGCGUAACGGAGGAGCACGAAGGUUAGCUAAUCCUGGUCGGACAUCAGGAGGUUAGUGCAAUGGCAUAAGCUAGCUUGACUGCGAGCGUGACGGCGCGAGCAGGUGCGAAAGCAGGUCAUAGUGAUCCGGUGGUUCUGAAUGGAAGGGCCAUCGCUCAACGGAUAAAAGGUACUCCGGGGAUAACAGGCUGAUACCGCCCAAGAGUUCAUAUCGACGGCGGUGUUUGGCACCUCGAUGUCGGCUCAUCACAUCCUGGGGCUGAAGUAGGUCCCAAGGGUAUGGCUGUUCGCCAUUUAAAGUGGUACGCGAGCUGGGUUUAGAACGUCGUGAGACAGUUCGGUCCCUAUCUGCCGUGGGCGCUGGAGAAUUGAGGGGGGCUGCUCCUAGUACGAGAGGACCGGAGUGGACGCAUCACUGGUGUUCGGGUUGUCAUGCCAAUGGCACUGCCCGGUAGCUAAAUGCGGAAGAGAUAAGUGCUGAAAGCAUCUAAGCACGAAACUUGCCCCGAGAUGAGUUCUCCCUGAGACUUUAAGUCUCCUGAAGGAACGUUAAAGACGAUGACGUUGAUAGGCCGGGUGUGUAAGCGCAGCGAUGCGUUGAGCUAACCGGUACUAAUGAACCGUGAGGCUUAACCUU
This 2758-nucleotide ribosomal RNA is filed under the name Klebsiella pneumoniae. Its description in RNAcentral is "bacterial LSU rRNA". It matches the Rfam family "Bacterial large subunit ribosomal RNA". Lineage: Bacteria; Pseudomonadati; Pseudomonadota; Gammaproteobacteria; Enterobacterales; Enterobacteriaceae. The record is from RNAcentral.